UUCACUCUGGGACAAGCCCUGGAAACGGGGUCUAAUACCGGAUAACACUCCUGCCUGCAUGGGCGGGGGUUAAAAGCUCCGGCGGUGAAGGAUGAGCCCGCGGCCUAUCAGCUUGUUGGUGGGGUAAUGGCCCACCAAGGCGACGACGGGUAGCCGGCCUGAGAGGGCGACCGGCCACACUGGGACUGAGACACGGCCCAGACUCCUACGGGAGGCAGCAGUGGGGAAUAUUGCACAAUGGGCGAAAGCCUGAUGCAGCGACGCCGCGUGAGGGAUGACGGCCUUCGGGUUGUAAACCUCUUUCAGCAGGGAAGAAGCGAAAGUGACGGUACCUGCAGAAGAAGCGCCGGCUAACUACGUGCCAGCAGCCGCGGUAAUACGUAGGGCGCAAGCGUUGUCCGGAAUUAUUGGGCGUAAAGAGCUCGUAGGCGGCUUGUCACGUCGGAUGUGAAAGCCCGAGGCUUAACCUCGGGUCUGCAUUCGAUACGGGCUAGCUAGAGUGUGGUAGGGGAGAUCGGAAUUCCUGGUGUAGCGGUGAAAUGCGCAGAUAUCAGGAGGAACACCGGUGGCGAAGGCGGAUCUCUGGGCCAUUACUGACGCUGAGGAGCGAAAGCGUGGGGAGCGAACAGGAUUAGAUACCCUGGUAGUCCACGCCGUAAACGUUGGGAACUAGGUGUUGGCGAC
This 684-nucleotide ribosomal RNA is filed under the name Streptomyces sp. 1(2012). RNAcentral describes it as "bacterial SSU rRNA". It matches the Rfam family "Bacterial small subunit ribosomal RNA", at positions 132 to 830 of the family's 1533-position model. The record is from RNAcentral. Lineage: Bacteria; Bacillati; Actinomycetota; Actinomycetes; Kitasatosporales; Streptomycetaceae.